CCAGACUCCUACGGGAGGCAGCAGUGGGGGAUAUUGCACAAUGGGGGCAACCCUGAUGCAGCGACGCCGCGUGAGCGAUGGGGUACUUCGGUAUGUAAAGCUCUGUCAGCAGGGAAGAGAAUGACGGUACCUGACCAAGAAGCCCCGGCUAAAUACGUGCCAGCAGCCGCGGUAAUACGUAUGGGGCAAGCGUUAUCCGGAUUUACUGGGUGUAAAGGGAGCGUAGACGGCAGCGCAAGUCUGAAGUGAAAUGCCGGGGCUUAACCCCGGAACUGCUUUGGAAACUGAGCAGCUAGAGUGCAGGAGAGGUAAGUGGAAUUCCUAGUGUAGCGGUGAAAUGCGUAGAUAUUAGGAGGAACACCAGUGGCGAAGGCGGCUUACUGGACUGUAGCUGACGUUGAGGCUCGAAAGCGUGGGGAGCAAACAGGAUUAGAUACCCGAGUA
Molecule: ribosomal RNA, 444 nt
Filed under: uncultured bacterium
Lineage: Bacteria
Description: partial 16S ribosomal RNA
Rfam family: Bacterial small subunit ribosomal RNA
Source: RNAcentral